GUGCAGCAGGCGAGAAUUUUUCUCAAUGGGGGAAACCCUGAAGGAGCGACGCCGCGUGGAGGAUGAAGGCCUUCGGGUUGUAAACUCCUGUCAUUUGAGAACAAGCGCCGGCAAGUAACUACUGCCGGCUUGAUAGUAUCAGAAGAGGAAGGGACGGCUAACUCUGUGCCAGCAGCCGCGGUAAUACAGAGGUCCCAAGCGUUGUUCGGAUUCAUUGGGCGUAAAGGGUGCGUAGGUGGCGCCGUAAGUCAGGUGUGAAAUUUCGGAGCUUAACUCCGAAACUGCAUUUGAUACUGCGGUGCUUGAGGACUGGAGAGGAGACUGGAAUUUACGGUGUAGCAGUGAAAUGCGUAGAGAUCGUAAGGAAGACCAGUGGCGAAGGCGGGUCUCUGGACAGUUCCUGACACUGAGGCACGAAGGCCAGGGGAGCAAACGGGAUUAGAUACACCCGUAGU
RNAcentral lists this ribosomal RNA (455 nucleotides) under uncultured organism. RNAcentral describes it as "bacterial SSU rRNA". It matches the Rfam family "Bacterial small subunit ribosomal RNA", at positions 346 to 794 of the family's 1533-position model. The record is from RNAcentral.